AUUGAACGCUGGCGGCAUGCUUUACACAUGCAAGUCGAACGGCAGCGCGGGCUUCGGCCUGGCGGCGAGUGGCGAACGGGUGAGUAAUGCAUCGGAACGUGCCCAGUAGUGGGGGAUAGGCCGGCGAAAGCCGGAUUAAUACCGCAUACGACCUGAGGGUGAAAGGGGGGGACCGAAAGGCCUAGAGCGAUUGGAGGGGCCCUAGUGGGAUUAGCUAGUUGGUGAGGUAAAGGCUUACCAAGGCGACGAUCCGUAGCUGGUCUGAGAGGACGACCAGCCACACUGGAACUGAGACACGGUCCAGACUCCUACGGGAGGCAGCAGUGGGGAAUUUUGGGCAAUGGGCGCAAGCCUGAUCCAGCCAUGCCGCGUGAGGGAAGAAGGCCUUCGGGUUGUAAACCGCUUUUGUUCGGGAAGAACAUCUCUGGGCUAAUACCCCGAGAGCAUGACGGUACCGGAAGAAAAAGCACCGGCUAACUACGUG
RNAcentral lists this ribosomal RNA (484 nucleotides) under uncultured bacterium. Its description in RNAcentral is "partial 16S ribosomal RNA". It matches the Rfam family "Bacterial small subunit ribosomal RNA", at positions 29 to 507 of the family's 1533-position model. The record is from RNAcentral.